GCAUCCAGCACGGCAGCGUUCCCCACCCUCGCGUCGCAUCCCAAUUCGUUAAUCCCAUCGCCUUCCCCGAUCCCUCUCGAGUCUCCUCCCCUCCGCUCCCCCGUCCCCUCCCCCCUUCCUCCUCUCGGAUCCGCCACCCCGCGGCCCGCCCCUCGCCGCCGGCGACCAUGUCCAAGUACGGCACCAUCCCCACCUCAUCCUCCUCCGCCGCGGGGGCGGCUCACCUCGGCGGCGCCUCCCCGCUCGACUUCAUCUCCCGCGCCAAGGCCCGCGGCGCGACGGCGCUGGCCACCCGCCGGCCGUGGCGCGAGCUCGCGGACGUGCACGCCAUCGGGCUGCCCCCGAGCCUCGGCGACGCCUACCUGCGCGUGCGCGCCAACCUCGCCCACUUCGCCAUGAACUACGCCAUCGUCGUCCUCGUCGUCGUCUUCCUCUCCCUCCUCUGGCAGCCCAUCUCCCUCAUCGUCUUCCUCGUGUGUAUGGUCGGCUGGCUCGUCCUCUACUUCCUCCGCGACGAGCCUGUCGUCCUCUUCGGCCGCGUCGUCGGCGACGGCGUGGUCCUCGCCGUGCUCGCUGUUGUCACGCUCAUCCUGCUGCUGCUCACCGGCGCGACCACCAACAUCCUCACAUCGCUGCUCAUCGGCUUCGUGCUCGUCGUGGUGCACGCCGCUCUGCACAAGGCGGAGGACAACGUCGACGAUGAGGUCGGCCGCUGGUACGCGCCAGUGCCAGCGCAGCCGUCUCACUAGUGUGAGAUUGCUCGCCCUCCAACUCUUGGUUCGUGGCUCGUCCAUAUUAUUGUUCAGUGCCGUGUAUGCAUUUCUGUUCUUCCUACUGCUAGAUGGUGUACAAUUUGUCAAUGUGUGCUUGCUGUGCUAUUGUCGUUCCUGAACAUGAAUGCAAGUGGUGAUGCUUUGUGUACUCAUAUUUUCCCGAAUUUUACCUGUGUAGUUCAUAGAUAUGAGCAGCUGAGUGUGCAAUUGGGUCUCAAACAAUCUCACGGUCAUGCUACAUGUUUGGUUUGUUUGUCAUAUAAAUUACCUGGUCAAGGAGAUCCCUUUCUGUUCCAUGGAUAAUUGAGAUAUUGCCUUUACAAAGUGAGAUUGAGACGUCUUGCAGUUCCAGAAGUCCCUUACACUUCAUUGUACCUGACUUUUCACUAACUUGUAAAAAAGAAGAAAAGAGAUAUCUAAAUGGCGGCUGGUCUAAAAUAUCUCUAAAUGUAUCUGCUAGCUCUGCCAGAAUUUCAUAAAUGGUUCAGUGAAUGUAAUUUGAUUGACAGAGUUUGCGGUAUGGCAAGCAGUUGUCACUAUCAGGCUGCCCAAUCUGAUAAAAUAGUUUUAGCAAUCUUAUCGUCUCUUUACACCCUGUAACCAUAGUGUAGCUCCCUGUUUAUAGUUGCGGAUCGUGUAUCUAUGUGCUUGUUUUUUAUGGAGGGCAGAAUCAUUGGAAGUGCCAGCCAGAAGAAGACGGAUGUAUGCAAUUUGAAAAUGGUCCGAGAGACAACCCUGGCCUGACAGGCCCUACACUAAGAGUCGUCUGGAAGUAGUGGGAGGCAAUUCCUUGCCCACUGCUCUUCCCACAAGGGAGGGCCUGAGUGUGCUCGAUUCUCCUUGUGUCCUCCCUUCGUUCUCAAGUAUUCUGUGAGUGUAAGUUUAGCAUUGGUAUAUGGUCUCGGCCCAGUCAGGAUGAACAAGAACUUGUAGCUGGUGGUUGGUCUUGCGCACGACACUGGUUCAUCAGAAGCUUUUGAUCCAGUAAUGAUGGACGGCUGUAAACUUUGGUCGUUGCGUACAGUUCAAAGAUUCCCCCUUCUUUACAUGUACGUACCAAUUAUGGGAGACAACGAAUCUACACUCUGAAGUGUGAGAAUUUAGCUGGCAGGGGCCCUCUGUGAGGCUGGUAUACAUUACUUCGUGCUGGCAAUUUCUGAUUUGCUCACGUGGUUUCAUCUUGUAUACACACGGUUUUGUUUGAAGGAGAUUGUCCGUUCGGUGCCAA
Molecule: RNA transcript, 2001 nt
Organism: Hordeum vulgare subsp. vulgare (domesticated barley)
Lineage: Eukaryota; Viridiplantae; Streptophyta; Magnoliopsida; Poales; Poaceae
Gene name: PRA1 family protein F3-like
Exons: 2
Source: RefSeq, a predicted model, not a curated record